RNAcentral lists this unclassified non-coding RNA (204 nucleotides) under uncultured cyanobacterium. RNAcentral's name for it is "partial 16S-23S ribosomal RNA intergenic spacer". The record is from RNAcentral. Lineage: Bacteria; Bacillati; Cyanobacteriota.
CGGUUCGAGUCCGCUUACCUCCACUGACUCUUCCUAAUCUCAAAACGAUGGAGAACUUCUUAUUGUUUUUAUUGUGAUCUAGUAUUUAGUUUUGUUCGAACGAACCUAGCUUCUUAUCAUCCAUAAUUUGUAGAUAAAACCUACAUGAAUGGUUGAUAAUACGCUGGGCUCAAUACAGCUUAAUAGCUGUAUAUGUGUUCAGUA